Molecule: ribosomal RNA, 598 nt
Filed under: uncultured archaeon
Lineage: Archaea
Description: bacterial SSU rRNA
Rfam family: Archaeal small subunit ribosomal RNA
Source: RNAcentral
UCCGGUUGAUCCUGCCAGAGGCCGCUGCUAUCCGGCUGGGACUAAGCCAUGGGAGUCAUGGGGCGCGGGCCCUUCGGGGUUCGCGCACCGGCGGACGGCUCAGUAACACGUGGCCAACCUGCCCUCGGGAGGGGGAUAACCCCGGGAAACUGGGGCUAAACCCCCAUAGGGGAUGGGUGGUGGAAUUCCCCCAUCCCCGAAAGUGUGCGGUUGCCGUAAGGCGCCGCACAGCCCGAGGAUGGGGCUGCGGCGGAUUAGGUAGUUGGCGGGGUAACGGCCCGCCAAGCCGAAGAUCCGUACGGGCCAUGAGAGUGGGAGCCCGGAGAUGGCCCCUGAGACAAGGGGCCAGGCCCUACGGGGCGCACCAGGCGCGAAACCUCCGCAAUGCGGGAAACCGCGACGGGGUCAGCCGGAGUGCCCGCGCAUCGCGCGGGCUGUCGGGGAGCCUAAACAGCUCCCCAUAGCAAGGGCCGGGCAAGGCCGGUGGCAGCCGCCGCGGUAAUACCGGCGGCCCGAGUGGCGGCCACUAUUAUUGGGCCUAAAGCGUCCGUAGCCGGGCGGGUAAGUCCCCCGGGAAAUCUGGCGGCUUAACCGUCAG